This 71-nucleotide transfer RNA is filed under the name Alpinimonas psychrophila. RNAcentral's name for it is "Klugiella sp. Cr8-25 tRNA". It matches the Rfam family "tRNA". From Rfam's summary of the family: Transfer RNA (tRNA) molecules are approximately 80 nucleotides in length. Their secondary structure includes four short double-helical elements and three loops (D, anti-codon, and T loops). The record is from Rfam by way of RNAcentral. RNAcentral also lists the same sequence under 1 other name. Lineage: Bacteria; Bacillati; Actinomycetota; Actinomycetes; Micrococcales; Microbacteriaceae.
UCCGCCAUGGUGUAAUGGCAGCACGGCAGCCUUUGGAGCUGCCUGUCUAGGUUCGAAUCCUGGUGGCGGAG